GGAAUUCCCGCCCGCGAUGGAAAAAUCCGCGCCGUCUGAGGGCAUGAGAAGAACCAGCUGAUCGGGGGAGUAUAUAAUGCCUCGAGGAAGAAGCUCGGGAUCCAGAUCACCUUCUGCCUCUGAAGCUGCAACACCUCCUCAGCCAACAUGAAGUUGAUUUCCUUGUUGAUGGCCAUGGCCGUGGCCCUGUCCUGCUUCAUGGGGUCUGCCCAUGCCAUGCCCGAGCCCUAUGCCCUUCCUGACGCAGAGGCCGAACCCUGGCGCCUUAGGCCCUACGGUGGCCACUAUUUCUACCACUAUAGGCCGUACAGAUUCCAUGGUCAUCACCACUACGGCUAAGCAGUCACAGAGCGCAGUGCAGAAGACCGCCUUACGCCAAUAAGGAUUUCUCUUCCUCUUUCUAUCUCUGCCUAUGUCUGUCGAAGAUCCCUCUGCGAACGCCAAUGUGAACCGAAAUUUCUGCCUUCGUCCGCAAUGAUUUCUUCAAGAUUUCAAAAGACUCAAAAUGUAUCGAGAAAAAAAAUGGAACUACUGCUUCUUUCCGAUUAAAAUUCGUGCAAUGACA
This is a non-coding RNA of Penaeus vannamei (Pacific white shrimp), 565 nucleotides long. The record is from RefSeq and is a predicted model, not a curated record. Lineage: Eukaryota; Metazoa; Arthropoda; Malacostraca; Decapoda; Penaeidae.